Molecule: ribosomal RNA, 253 nt
Filed under: uncultured bacterium
Lineage: Bacteria
Description: partial 16S ribosomal RNA
Rfam family: Bacterial small subunit ribosomal RNA
Source: RNAcentral
UACGUAGGGUGCAAGCGUUGUCCGGAAUUAUUGGGCGUAAAGAGCUCGUAGGCGGUCUGUCGCGUCGGAUGUGAAAACCCGGGGCUUAACCCCGGGCCUGCAUUCGAUACGGGCAGACUCGAGUGUGGUAGGGGAGACUGGAACUCCUGGUGUAGCGGUGAAAUGCGCAGAUAUCGGAAGGAACAUCAGUGGCGAAGGCGACUUCCUGGACCAAUACUGACGCUCAGGUGCGAAAGCGUGGGGAGCAAACAGG